This 368-nucleotide ribosomal RNA is filed under the name Candidatus Lernaella stagnicola. RNAcentral's name for it is "partial 23S ribosomal RNA". It matches the Rfam family "Bacterial large subunit ribosomal RNA", at positions 2560 to 2925 of the family's 2925-position model. The record is from RNAcentral. Lineage: Bacteria; Candidatus Lernaellota; Candidatus Lernaellaia; Candidatus Lernaellales; Candidatus Lernaellaceae.
AGGUCCCAAGGGUUUGGCUGUUCGCCAAUUAAAGCGGUACGCGAGCUGGGUUUAGAACGUCGUGAGACAGUUCGGUCCCUAUCUGUCGUGGGCGUAGGAGAUUUGAAGGGAGCUGCCCCUAGUACGAGAGGACCGGGGUGGACGAACCUCUAGUGUUCCAGUUGUGGCGCCCGCCGCAUUGCUGGGUAGCCAAGUUCGGAAAGGAUAACCGCUGAAAGCAUCUAAGCGGGAAGCCUCCUCCAAGACAAGUCAUCCCAGAACUUAGGUUCCUAAAGGGCCCUGGAAGACUACCAGGUUGAUAGGCCGGAUGUGUAAGUGCAGUAAUGCACUCAGCUAACCGGUACUAAUUGCCCGUGAGGCUUGACCAU